RNAcentral lists this ribosomal RNA (468 nucleotides) under uncultured bacterium. RNAcentral describes it as "partial 16S ribosomal RNA". It matches the Rfam family "Bacterial small subunit ribosomal RNA", at positions 28 to 507 of the family's 1533-position model. The record is from RNAcentral.
GACGAACGCUGGCGGCGUGCUUAACACAUGCGAGUCGAACGGAAAGGCCCUGCUUUUGUGGGGUGCUCGAGUGACGAACGGGUGAGUAACACGUGUGUAACCUGCACUUGACUUUGGGAUAGCUUAAGGAAACUGGGGCUAAUACCGGAUAGGAGCUCUUGCUGCAUGGUGGGCGUUGGAUAGUUUCGGCGGUUGGGGAUGGACUCGCGGCUUAUCAGCUUGUUGGUGGGGUAGUGGCAUACCAAGGCUUUGACGGGUAGCCGGCCUGAGAGGCGGACCGGCCACAUCAGGCCUGAGAUACGGCCCAGACUCCUACGGGAGGCAGCAGUGGGGAAUAUUACACAAUGGGCGGAAGCCUGAUGCAGCAUCGCCGCGUGCGGGAUGACGGGCUGCGGGUUGUAAACCGCUUUCGCCUGUGACGAAGCGUGAGUGACGGUAAUGGGUAAAGAAGCACCGGCUAACUACGUG